UACGAGGGGUCCUAGCGUUGUUCGGAAUCAUUGGGCGUAAAGCGGGUGUAGGCGGACUAGUAAGUCAGAAGUGAAAGCCCUGGGCUCAACCCAGGAAGUGCUUUUGAAACUACUAGUCUUGAGUGUGAGAGAGGAAAGUGGAAUUUCUGGUGUAGUGGUGAAAUACGUAGAUAUCAGAAGGAACAUCGGUGGCGAAGGCGACUUUCUGGCUCAUUACUGACGCUCAGACCCGAAAGCGUGGGUAGCAAACAGG
This 253-nucleotide ribosomal RNA is filed under the name uncultured bacterium. RNAcentral describes it as "partial 16S ribosomal RNA". It matches the Rfam family "Bacterial small subunit ribosomal RNA", at positions 524 to 776 of the family's 1533-position model. The record is from RNAcentral.